AUCAGUCAGAAGAAGGGUUUCGGCCCGAAACGUCACCCAUUUCCUUCGCUCCAUAGAUGCUGCUGCACCCGCUGAGUUUCUCCAGCAUUUUUGUGUGCCUACUUUUAAUGACUGGUGUACCAUGACACCCAGGUCUCGUUGCAUCUCCCCCUUUCCUAAUUCAGAUAAUAGUCUACUUUCCUGUUUUUGUCAUUUUUCCUGUAAUUGAAUUUAGUGAUGUGGGAGGAAACCUGGAGGAAACCCACACGGUCACUGGGAGAACAUUGAACACCCAUUCACACUAAUGUUAUGUUAUACCACUCCCAUCCAUUCUUACACAUUUGGGGCAAUUUACGGAGUUCAAUUAAUCUACAAACCCGCAAGUCUUUGGGAUGUGGGAGGAAAAGGGAGUUCCCGGCCAAAACUCAUGCAGUCACGGGAAGAACAUGCGAACUCCUCGCGGACAGCUGCUGCGAUGUGGGUCUCUGGAGCCGUGAGCAGAAGCUCUACCAGCUGUCCCACUGUGCUAUCCUGGAGCAUGAUGCCGCAACUGAGAAACAAUGGGAACAUUGGUGAGGCUUGGGACCCUUUACCACCCACCUUACCCUCUAUCGAAAUAAGUCCUUACAUUUGUGCAUGGGUAUACUGCUUCAGAAUGGUUCGUAGUGUGAAAGGACAAAAUAAAAAGACACAGCUGGAGUAACUCAGUGGGUCAGGCAACAUCCCUGGGGAAUGUGGCUAGGUCUGUGGAAUUCUCUGCCUCAGAGGGCGGUGGAGGCAGGUUCUCUGGAUGCUUUCAAGAGAGAGCUAGAUAGGGCUCUUAAAAAUAGUGGAGUCAGGGGAUAUGGGGAGAAGGCAGGAACGGGGUACUGAUUGGGGAUGAUCAGCCAUGAUCAUAUUGAAUGGUGGUGCUGGCUCUAUGGGACGAAUGGCCUCCUCCUGCACUUAUUGUCUAUUGUUUAUUGUGAUGUUUUGGGUUGGGACAAACUUCUUCAGACUUCAGAUGUUUCUACGUUGAUGAUCCAGUGGUGCAUUCCCCAAUAGCAGUUCAGGUAAGGUUGCAUCUUUAAUCUUACACCACUGUGAAUAAAUAUCAUUUCAUUCAGGCUGGUUCUUGGCUUGAGGCUAUUAAAUGUUGUUAUAGAUCAUUUGAUUCUGAUUCUGAGUUGGAUGGGUACAUGGAUAAUUCUGUUGAAAUAUACAGUGCAGAAAUGGGCCCUUUGGACCAGUGAUCCCCGUACACUACAUGUGUAGGAAGUUGCUGGUUUAAACUGCUGGAUAAAUGCUGGAAUAACUCAGCACGACAGGCAGCAUCUCCAAAGAGAAGGAAUGGGAAACAUUUUGGGUCAAGACCCUUCUUCAGAUUGGCUACUCAACCCAAAAUGUCACCCAUUCCUUCUGUCCAGAGAUGCUGCCUUUCAUCACAGUGGAUGUUUGUGUUAAUUGUUAUGUAGUGUGUCUUGUUGCUUUUCUGGUAUGACUAUAUGGGAAAUCAAAUUCCUUGUUUGUUUUUACAUACUUGGCUAAUAAAUUAAUUACAAUUACAAUGUGAGGGCCUCAUCUACGAGAGAAGAGGAGAACUCUGUUCAUUAAAGAAUGAGGAUAUCUCGGAUGUCUGGGUGUGGAUCUCCUCAUCUUGGGAUAAAUUUUAAAAGCUGGAGUAACUCAGUGGAAGAGGCAUCAUCUCUGGAGAGAAGGAAUGGGUGACAUUUCAGGGUCAGUCCCUUCUAUCUUCGGUUUAAACUAGCAUCAGCAGCUCUUUCCUGCACACUUCAUCUCGUGAGCAGAUGCGGCGUGGACUGAGGUAUUGGGAGUAGGGGAUAGAGUCUUUGCGGGAGGCAGAGUGGGAAGAAGUGUGGUCCAGGUGAAGCAGGGUCCCGACCUGAAACAUCACCCAGCCCUUUUUCUCCAGAGAUGCUGCCUGACUUGCUGAGUUACUCCAGCACUUUGUGUCUCAUCUCUGGUAUUUACAGUAGCAGCAUCUGCUGUUCCGUUGUACACCACUCCAAUAUUGGUUCAGCAAUUAUACACCACUAUUUUGACAAUGAGAGGUUGAGCAAUUGAAAGCUAUUUCUGGACAGCACAUCAGAGGCAUUGCCUGUCCUUGGACCUGCUGAUGGAAACUCUGUGAUGAUGUUUCUCAUUUGUCAAUUUAGAGACGGCUUGUGUUUGCCACCUGCACCUUCCAUUACAAAUUAUGCUUUGGAAGAACAUUGUGACAUGUCUUGUUAGUUCUCUAUCUGGCCAUCAGCAAUUAAACUGAGUGUAAAUGUUGAAGCCUAUUCUUUUGCUCCUUGAAACGGAGACCGCAGCAUUAGUAAGGUUAAUUAACUAGCAUUUCUUGUUUUAUUUUCUGGCACCUUAGACUGAACUUCAAAGAAAUCAAACAAAUUCUUCGUAAGUUAAAUAUUUUGGAUCUUUUCCCUGAUCAGAACAAAUGAUGUAUAAAUACCAAUUCUUUUUAUUGAGAAGGUCAGCUGAGGACUGUCAAUUUAAAAUUGCCAUCUAAUAAUAAUAAUAAUAAAUUGAAUUUAUAUAGCGCUUUUCAGGGACUCAAAGUCACUUUACAAGGCAAGGCAAAAAAACAAAAACAAAAAAACAAAAACAAAAACCAAAACAAAACAAAACAAAACAAAAACAGAGCAACAAUUCAAGCACAGAUGAAAAGGGAGGGGGACGUGGGGCUAAGGAUAGUCAGAGGUAAAGAGAUGGGUCUUGAGGCGGUACUGGAAGAUGGCGAGGGACUCAGAAUUGCGGAUCAGUUGUGCAAAGAUAUGUCCGAUAGAUAGAAGCAUUUGGGCAAAUUGUGAGUGACACAAUGAAAGGGGGACAAUGGAGCAGUUGGUUGAGCUGCUGCCUCUCAACUCCAGAGACGCUGGUUCGAUCCAGCCCUUGGGUGCUGUUUGUGUGGAGUUUGCACGUUCUCCCUGUGACCCCGUGGGUUUCCUCCGGGUGACCCGGUUGCCUCCUACAUCCCAAAGACGUGCAGGUUUGUAGGUUAAUUGUCCUCUUGUAAAUUGUCCCUAGUGUGUCAGGUGGAUAAGAAUAUGGGAUCGCACAGAACUGGUAUAUGAACGAGCGUUGCAAAUAUGCAAAUGUUUAACAUACUAUUAUUUGUCUGUUUUAACAUACACUGAUUUUUCUGUUGCUGUUUAUUAUGAGUCCACAGAGUACUAUGUUUACAUAUCUGCUGUGCUGCUGCAAGUAAGAACUUGAUUGUCCCGUUUUGGAACAUGGGACAAUAAAACAUUCGUGACUCUUGACUGAUCUAUAUUACUAAAUCUCUGAUCUUGACCGCUUUUGGCCGACUGUGCUGCGAUUUCCGAGGGAAUGCCGCCACCUAUGGCCGUCAUUUUUGGCCACCUCGCUCAGACCCAUAUGAGUGCAGAGGAUUUUUUCCUUCGAUGAGAAAUGAGAGAGAUAUCAAUGUUUUUACAAAAUUCCCCAUUCUCUCUGCUGCCCCCGCUGGCGGCAGGGGGAGGGCCUAUAAAAGCAGGAAGUGUCGUGCCUCACUUAGUCUCUGCCAGACCCAGGAAGCGAGAGGGUCGCGGAUCACUGAGCUGCGAAUAACACUGAACGCACGUCUACUCCACGGUGAGUCCCCUCGAUGCGGCUGUAAAGUGGCUGCAGCCCAUUUUAACAGUUUUUUGUUCACAAAAUAAAUUUUGGUUGUCGGGUGUCUGCAGCCCAAUUGUUUGCCAUGGCUUGGCUUUUAAAAUCGUUGCAACAGUUGGAUGGCAGCCCAAGCAUCCAUACAGCUCACAAUGUCUAUACUAGCCCUCUGGAAACCAGUACCUUCAGCCCGCAACACCCAUACUAGCGCAACAGACAUCCCCCCCCACUUGCGAGCAGUAUUGGAAUUGGUGGAGAGGUGGAAUAUUGCAUUGGUGACCAGCCCUCCCUUGUGAUGCUGGGACCCAACGGGUCCCACUUAGUCUAGUUACUAUUAAAAAUAGGAUAACAUAAAAUUUGUGAGAACGGAUGAUCGAUGGUCGGCUUGGGCCAAAGGACCUGUUUCUAUGCUGUAUCAUUCUACUAAUCAAUCAUUAAGAAAGCUGGUGGAAGCUGAGACAGAAGAUGCUGACAUGUUGAAAUAAUGAGUUAGCGGCAACAUUAUAAUAAAGGACGGCUGAUAGCUCAGAGGGCAAACACCAAAGAUCAGUGGAAGCAACAUAGCGAUCUGUAAGCAAAAGACAGUGAGUAACAAAUUGACACAAAAUAAUUGAUAAAGUCAUGAGCUUAUGAUCAACAAUAGUUCAACCGAACUUUACUUGUCACAUAUGCAACUGCACAGUGAAGUUCUGAUUGCAUAUUUUAUACAUGCUGGUGCCGCCAUUUUUGGCGCCAUUGCGAGUUCGAUGUUCCCGCGAACCAAUGUCCCUCUCCUCUCCUGGUCAUCUUUGUGUCCCUACAAUGCUGUCUGCAGCCUAACUUUAAGGCAUUUUGGGGUGCUGGCCUUUAUAAAUCAGAACAUUGCGUAUAGAAGUUGGGAUGUAAUGUUAAAAUUGUACAAGGCAUUGGUGAGGCCAAUUCUGGAGUAUGGUGUACAAUUUUGGUCGCCUAAUUAUAGGAAGGAUGUCAACAAAAUAGAGCGAGUAAAGAAGAGAUUUACUCGAAUGUUGCCUGGGUUUCAGCAACUAAGUUACAGAGAAAGGUUGAACAAGUUAGGUCUUUAUUCUUUGGAGUGCAGAAGGUUAAGGGGGGACUUGAUGGAGGUUUUUAAAAUGAUGAGAGGGAUAGACAGAGUUGAUGUGGAUAAGCUUUUCCCACUGAGAGUAGGGAAGAUUCAAACAAGGGGACAUGAUUUGAGAAUUAAGGGACAGAAGUUUAGGGGUAACACGAGGGGGGACUUCUUUACUCAGAGAGUGGUAGCUGUGUGAAAUGAGCUUUCAGUGAAGGUGGUGGAGGCAGGUUCGAUUUUAUCAUUUAAAAAUAAAUUGGAUAGUUAUAUGGACGGGAAAGGAAUGGAGGGUUAUGGUCUGAGUGCAGGUAGAUGGGACUAGGGGAGAAUACGUGUUUGGCACGGACUAGAAGGGUUGAGAUGGCCUGUUUUUGUUGCUGUAAUUGUUAUAUGGUUAUAUGGUUAUUUGAGGCAUUAUACUGGUUUGCCCUUCUGCCCUCCUCACAACCAACAUCUUCAGCUCUGUGCCGACUGAUUAGCCAUUGGGCAAGUUACCGUUCCAACAUCCCUCUCGCUCGCCGACUGCGUCAACUCUUUGUAGAAACUAAUGUGAACAAAGUAUUUCAGAAGAAAGAUUAGUAUAACAUUGAAACUAAUAAUGAGGCUUAAUGUGGGAAAAAUCAAGAGCUACUUAAUCUUUAUGGGCUGAGACCUAAGAUAUUACUUCGGAGUCACGUGAGUGACUACGUGAAGAACCCGCUCAGCGUGCAUGCGCGUCUUUACGCCAGCAGGGCAACAAGCGGCGGCAGCUGGAGUUAGGCUCUCCCGCUGCAGUUUAAAAAACGGACCAUUAGGUAAGUACACUGAGGUGUGGAAAGGAGUCUAACGGAGGAGGAGAGUUGUGUGUGUGUUUUCUGCUUACAGAAAUGAGUGCACUUAAGAAAAAACUCUCAAAGAGAACUGCCCCCCGCUCAACUCCACCAGAGGAGCGUUCAAUCUCAGGGGGGCAGCAACAGGCGGCAGGACCGCUCAUAGAGCGCUCCACCAUCCCCGACGCCGAGCCAAGCCCAGUCCCGCUAAUGCCUGAACAGCGGACUGGGAAAAAAUCCACCAGGAAAACCAACCGGCUGGUGAUUUCCGAUUCGUCGGACGGGGACAUGUCUCCACCUAAACGGAGGAGAGACAGCCGCCUGAGCUGCAUACAACAGCUCUUGGAGCAGAUGCUCCAGCGGGAUGCGCAGAAAGAGCGCUCUCACGGAGGGAGAUCAGGCACCUCCUCCACAGUGUCUUGUGCACUACCCUCUGCUCCCUCAUCACUGGAGGCUAGCAUUGGUGACCAGGGCUGGGCUGGUCUGGAACAGGGGCUAUGUAGCAACCCCAUGUGCUGGAAGACCACUGGAACGGAAAUUGGCGGCCAGCAUAAAUCAUCUUUCGAAUAAGCCCUUGCAGGAAAAGGUGCUUUCUUUUUUUUGUUUUUUUUUUUUGUUUAUUUUAUUAGAAGUUAAUACAGUACAAAACAGUACAGUGGAACCUAAUUUUAGGUGCCACCUAUGUCAUACCGUAAUCCAUUCUAUGUACAACCUCUAGUUUUAUGUUAUGAGAAGGAAGUAAGCAAGACAAGAAAAAGAAAACAAUAGAAAGGGGAAAACGUGGCAAAAUAGAUGGUAGAGAGUAGAAAAACGUGACGUGUGUAUAUAAAAAAGAUAAAUAAAUAAAAAGUGGAAAGUAGAAAUAGAAGAAAAGAGAAUUUUUCAAAUCUGUAUUCGGAGAUGUAGAUCUAUCCACGUCAUGAACUGAAAUCAGCAAUCUUUACCAUACCGCUGCAUCACAUGAUUCUAAAAAGUCGAUGAAAGGAGACCAACUCCUUACGAAUUGGACAUAUUUCUCUAUUAGUCGGAGUCUCAUUUCUUCAAGGCGUGCUAUGUCCAUCAUAUUCCUAAUCCACAUUUUAACAGUUGGUAUGGUUGUAUUUUUCCAAAAUGUAAGUAUCAAUUUCUUUCCAAUUUUUAACCCAUAAUUAAAAAAAACAUUUUGGUCUUUAUUUAAAUUGGUAUCUUCUCCUAUUAUUCCAAAUAUAAUCCAUUCCAUUUUGAGUUCUAUUCUUGACAUGAAAAGCUUUGUAAAUAUAUCAAAUAUAUCACUCCAAAAUUUAUUCAACUUUGUACAUCCUACAAAUGAAUGUGUUAUAUUAGCGUUUUGAAACAAACAUUUAUCGCAUCUGGGAGAGACAUUUGGAUAAAAUUUAUUGAACCUCGUUUUUGAAUAAUAUAGUCUAUGUAAUAAUUUUGAAUUGAAUUAAAUUAUGUCUUGCAUUAAUAGAACAGUUAUGUGUAUUCAUCAAAUACUUUUCCCAUCUAUCCUUCGAGAUCUUUAUCAUUAGCUCAUGUUCCCAAUCUUCCCUUAGUGCUUCUGUUGAGGGUGAUUCUCUAUUUAAUAUUUACAUUACUAAAACUCAGUUCUUGACCGCUUUUCCCGAUCUGUGCUGCGAUUUCCGAGAGAACGCCGCCACCUACGGCCGUCAUUUUUGGCCACCUCCCUCAGAGCCCCCCUCUGCCGCAUGUGUGCCGAGGAUUUUUCCCCUCGAUGAAAUAUGACCGAGAUAUUAAUGUUUUUACAUCAUUCCCCAUUCUCUCUGCUGCCCCCGCUGGCGGCAGGGGAGGGAGGGGCUAUAAAACCCGGAAGCGUCCCGCUUCAACUCACUUUCUUGCCGGCCACGAAGUGAAAGGGUCACGGCUCUCUGAGCUGCAGCUCUGCUCCCAGGCCAGUAAUGCGCGAAAGAACCUUUUUAUUUCGAUCAGCACUGUGUUUAAAUUUAAAAUUGGCGGACAUUUUGUGAUUGUGGCGGUUUGAAGAUGGCGACGAUGACGUCAUUUCCGGCGAUCGGUAAGAUGGCGGUGAUGACGUCAUUUCCGGUGAUUGGGAAGAUGGCGGCGAUGACGUCAUUUCCGGUCGGAGGCAAGAUGGCGCUGAAGACGUGCACGAGGUGUUGAAUGAUUCUACAGACUGUAUCCUCUAGGAUAGCAGCUACAUUUCUGCCUGGUGGAAGAACGACACAUUCUCGAUUCAAGAUACCCAUCCAAGUGGCCGAGGAUACAUUGUGCAACAUCGAGAAGAACUCUAAGACGGCACAUUUCACGAG
Molecule: long non-coding RNA, 7739 nt
Organism: Leucoraja erinaceus (little skate)
Lineage: Eukaryota; Metazoa; Chordata; Chondrichthyes; Rajiformes; Rajidae
Exons: 3
Source: RefSeq, a predicted model, not a curated record